GAUGAACGCUAGCGGCAGGCUUAAUACAUGCAAGUCGUGGGGCAGCAGGGGUAGCAAUACCCGCUGGCGACCGGCAAACGGGUGCGGAACACGUACGCAACCUUCCUUUAACUGGAGAAUAGCCCCCUCGAAAGAGGGAUUAAUACUCCGUAACAUAUUGAUAAGGCAUCUUAUUAAUAUUAUAGCUCCGGCGGUUAAAGAUGGGCGUGCGGCUGAUUAGAUAGUUGGCGGGGUAACGCCCACCAAGUCUGCGAUCAGUAACUGGUGUGAGAGCACGACCAGUCACACGGGCACUGAGACACGGGCCCGACUCCUACGGGAGGCAGCAGUAAGGAAUAUUGGUCAAUGGACGCAAGUCUGAACCAGCCAUGCCGCGUGGA
RNAcentral lists this ribosomal RNA (380 nucleotides) under uncultured bacterium. RNAcentral describes it as "bacterial SSU rRNA". It matches the Rfam family "Bacterial small subunit ribosomal RNA", at positions 28 to 405 of the family's 1533-position model. The record is from RNAcentral.